RNAcentral lists this ribosomal RNA (453 nucleotides) under uncultured bacterium. Its description in RNAcentral is "bacterial SSU rRNA". It matches the Rfam family "Bacterial small subunit ribosomal RNA", at positions 28 to 526 of the family's 1533-position model. The record is from RNAcentral.
GAUGAACGCUGGCGGUCUGCUUAACACAUGCAAGUCGAACGAACUCUUUGAGUUAGUGGCGGACGGGUGAGUAACACGUGAGAAUCCGCCCCUAGGUCGGGGACAACAGAGGGAAACUUCUGCUAAUCCCGGAUGAGCCGAGAGGUAAAAGAUUUAUUGCCUAGGGAUGAGCUCGCGUCUGAUUAGCUAGUUGGUGUGGUAAUGGCGUACCAAGGCAACGAUCAGUAGCUGGUCUGAGAGGAUGAUCAGCCACACUGGGACUGAGACACGGCCCAGACUCCUACGGGAGGCAGCAGUGGGGAAUUUUCCGCAAUGGGCGAAAGCCUGACGGAGCAAGACCGCGUGGGGGAGGAAUGCCUUUGGGUUGUAAACCCCUUUUCUCAGGGAAGAAGAAAGUGACGGUACCUGAGGAAUCAGCCUCGGCUAACUCCGUGCCAGCCGCCGCCGUAACAC